This is a long non-coding RNA of Passer domesticus (house sparrow), 5868 nucleotides long. RefSeq lists it as uncharacterized. NCBI's taxonomy places the organism in Eukaryota, Metazoa, Chordata, Aves, Passeriformes, Passeridae. The transcript has 4 exons. The record is from RefSeq and is a predicted model, not a curated record.
CCGGCUGUCCCUCGCGUCCGGGCCGAGAAGGCGCUGAGGGUCAGCAGUGCGGUCAAAAGCGGCUCCCCUCGUCAGGCGCCGUGUAAACACGAGGUUUAUACACGAGGUUUAAACACGGCCGGACCGUUAAAAAGUGAACAUGGGGAGAACUUUCCAGGCAGUGUGAAACACAGAUAGAACAUUUUGCUCCCUUUUGGUGUAGCUGGACACUCAGAUGACCUAGCAGGAACUGAGAAAAAUUGAGAGAAGACGGGAGGUAGCCGUCUGCGCUCCUGAUUUUUCCUGCAUCUGCUAUGGACUGAACUCACAGUAAGCUUGCUGUAAUGAACGGCAUGUCCCCGGGAAUUGCCAACUUCCCAAGCUUGUUACCAUAUUUUGUCGUCUUUGUUACUUAUGCAUUUCCUAUGGUUGUCAGAAGAGAAAAGGGUAAAUUAUCUGGACUAGUAUCAAAACUAGUUUUUCAUAAAACCCGAUAUAAUAUAUCUCAAUGUCUGUUUUCAUGAAAAAUUAUUUCUGUUUUAUGGGUAUUUGCCGGAUACCUUGAUUAGGCAUAAUACGUAUCAGUUUAUGGACAGGUUUGCAGUGACCACACUUCAUCAGGAUUAGUUUUGAUGUUUGAAGGCAUGUUUCAGGCUCUAAGGGACGAUUCACAAGAAUUUUGUGUUCAUCAGGAUUUGGGGUUUUUUAUAUAAAUACCAUGACCAAUGAAGAUUUCAAGUAAUUUGAGUUCUUUAAAAAAAAAUAAAUAAAAAUCACGAGACUAAUUAAGCCAUGACUUGGUGCGUUUUCUGUCAAAGGGUAAAGAUAAGAAAAACCUUGUUAAUUAUUUCAAAGUCACAUUUUAUCGUACAUAAAAACGCAUUUGCCCUUUUGAACCAACGAGGGCCAAGAAGUUGCCAAAAACUUGUGUUCACACAGCCCCCUCGUGGUCAAAGCCUUCAGAGUCUCACAACCACCUCUACUCACAGGAAGGAGGGAAGGGUCAAAGCAGGCUGAUGCAAAUUAAAGUGCUGCAACCUUGGCUCGCAAAAGGCAUGGUCACCUGCUGGAAUAAAGACAUGCCAUGCCCAUUACAAGGCUAAUCUUCACUGUGCAGUUUCCCCAAAUAUAUUACAGCCUCUUGAAAGCUGAUGAGGAGGUAAAAUGACUGGAGGCAAGCCAGCUGUUGGGAAUUCUGAUUCAUGGGUUGACAGUAUGGGGUUACAGGAUAAACAUUGUGGGAUUGGAGCACCAAGCUAUUAGAGUCUGAGUAGUAACUGCAACUUGAGAAGAAUGGAACCGUAAUUCAUCCAGAUUGUGAUGGCUCCAGAGUGUGGUAUUGCUCUGGUGUCUUGAUCAUAUUUCCCACAGAAGGAAUUUAUGCUUCCUUUGAAUCUUGUCCAUUUUGCAGACCUGGAGGUGUGAGGUGUGGUCCAGAGGAUUUUCUCACAGAGCAAAGAGAGGACAAAACAUCUGAAGAACUCUCUUUUCCAAGCAAAGAGUGAACUGAGCACUGACAUUAAAACUAUGCCCUGCAGUCUUGAUGACUGUAGAAGGAAAAGCUUUUUGACAGACAAAUUGUCUUUGUUCAGGCAAUAUUAUUUGGUUCAUUCCUCCCUGAAGGUGACCAACAAUUCCAGCUAGUGAAAAAAAGACUGUUGCUAAAGAUGGUCAGAAAUCCUUCUGUAUCCAGCAUUUCAAUUGUUUCUGUAAAUGCAAGGUUUUCUCUAUGAUAAAUAGAAUGUGAGAAUUCUGUCCCAAUCACAUUUCAAAACGUAUAACUGUGUGUUUAUGUGUAUUUAGCAUUAUCUCCUUAGCUGCCAGAAGUAAAGAAGCAGCAUUUAUAAUUUUUUCCUUUUGUUUAUUUUUACAUUUUUUAUUAUCUUUUAUUUUUUACCAGUCUUUACAGUUUAUGAGGUAAUGGUAGGUAGAUGGAAUUCUUCCCUUUUAGAUCAUAUAUUUCACUCUUUGUAAAUGUAAGAUAGACUAGUUUCCUCUACAUCCUAAUGGUUAAGUAAAAAACAAAGCCAUGAGAGACAUUCCCAUUCCUCCUGUAUUGCUGGAUGAGCAGCUGUUUUCCUUCAGUUUUAAAAACUGAAGUCAGAAAUUGAGAGAAAUAUAAUGUUGUUUAGUGUAAUUCAUCUGUAGACUAUUCCCUGCCUGAAAAAUGGGAAGUGUUUUAAAGACCACUAGUGUAUAGUUGUCUCAUUUCUAUGCAGUAAUCCAAAAAAUAAUAUACUUCUUUCCAGUACACAGUUAACAUAUAAAACUCAGCCAUUGUUACUCAGGUAAGUGCUGGAAAUAGAAGGGCAGCCAUUAUGACAGAUAGUGAAGUAGGAUUGGAAAUUUAUCUUAAAAAGAAUAGAAAAUCUCUUCGUUUUCAGCAGUUCUCUUCUGUAUAUCAGAAAAUUCAUAUAAAUGUAAUAUAUUUGAUGCUUUUUAAUUCCAGAUUACUAUGUCAAACCUAAAUAAUAUGAAAUUACUAGUUUUCAUUUUUCUGUCCUCGAUGGUUUUACUAUUUUGAUUUCUAUUCUCCAUAUCUAAAUAUUAACUAAUCUUUGUUUGACUUUCCAGUGUGAAAUCUGAACAAAGUAUGUAUUUCUGUAGAGUUUUAUCUAGACUCUCUAAAUAGUUUUUCUCUAGAUUCUCUCUUCUUCUCUAGAUUUUUUCAAGAUUUCUCAUAUUAUGCAGUACAGCUUUGCUUUUCAAAUCUGUUGUUUAUUUGGAGCAGUUUCCAACCAGUAUCAUAAAAAAGGAAUUUGCACUGGAGUUUCUAUACUAAUGGGUAGGAAGAGAACUUCAUUUUCUUCUGAAUACAUUUGCACUUUACUUUUGCACUUUAAAUUUAUUUGCUUUGUCCCAGAUAAACUCUAUUUUUGAAAGAAAGGUGAGAUUUUCUCUUGCUUACCAGAACAAAUUGCUGGUAUAUCAACCAAUGUCUCUCUGAAGUCUUCAAUUACAAUUUACGGUUGCUGUUGAACUGCAGUAAAAUUAAGGCAGUGAAAAUGUUGGAGGGGUGAAAGGAUUCUUGGGGUAGAGCAAUAAGCCAGAAAAUAAGUCAGCUGUGUAUUUCUAAUUAUUUCAGAGCAUACUUUAGUUAGCCCUCGCGAAGCCUAUGAAGGACAAACAUUCAGUAUAGAGUAUAAAAAAGAUGAUAGUACUGUGUUAUUUAUGAUUCUGUCAUAAAACUGGAAACGUGAAAAAAGAACCUUGACCAGCAAAUGUCUUAAAACUAAUUGUGAGAGAACAGCAGAUUAGUAAUUUGUUAUAUCUACAGUUUAUUCAUCUUCAUUUUCUUGAGUGUUUUUAUAAAGAACAUAUUGCAUUUCUAUCUUCAAUACUUCAUAAACUGUAUCUCAAAGCUCUUUAAAACCAUUAUCAAUAUCUAUAAUUACUUUCUAUUUGCUUAUCUAAUGUUAGGUCAGUUUUUCACUUCUCAAUGUUAUGACAUAUUGGAAGGUUCUUGUGAGCAAUUGUCAGCAGGUGGGUUACGGAAGUGUUUUAUCUCCUAUGAGGAUGAAGCUAAUACUGUUCUCUUUCUAAAGAGUUUUAAAAUAUUUGGAAUCUAUAUUCCAUUUUACGAGUGACUUUACAUGACUUUAAAGGUCUUCUGGCAUGUAUUUUCCAAGGAUUUCAAUGGUUGUCCAGCACCAAAAUGCUUCAAAAAAUUAGUCCUUACUGAGUGAUACCUUUAGCUUACAUUCUAUAGACAUCCUGCCCUAGUAUGUGUCAAGAGACUAUAUGUUUUAUAUAUAUAUACUAUAUCUUACAUUAAUAUUAACACAUUAGCAUUAAUACAUUAUUAAUAUAUUAGCCUAUAUGAUGUUCAGUUUUACUAAAAAAUGGAUCCAUAGUAGUGAAAAAGACUGAGGUUCUCUCAAAAUGAUGACAAUUUUCUUCUUUAGGACUUUGAAUACUCCAGAAUAUUCUUAUUCAAGACAAUGAACUCACUGGUAUUCACAAUAUUUGCCCCUGGAUGAAAGAAGGCAGUGUCCACAGCUGCCAUAGGAGUGUUGCCAGCAGUUUGAGGGAGGUGAUCCUUCCCAUCUACUAAGCACUGGUAAGGUCACACCAAGUGUUGAGUUCUGGGCUCCAUGGUAAAAGACACCUAUACAAAUACAGGAGAGGGUCCCAUGAAGCACUGGAUGGAGCUAGAGCAACUCUCAUACAAAGAAACACAGAAAACUUAAAAUCUGGUCAACUAGGAGAAGAAAAGCCUCAGAAUCACAGAGUUGGCCAGGUUAGAAGGGACCAGAGUAGUUCAAUAUGCAUGCACAAGCAGGAUCUUUUCAGAGUGCAUUGCACAGGAUCACAUCUGGAUUGUUCUUGAGUAUCUUCAGUGAGGGAGACUUCACAACUGCUCUUGGCAAUCUGUUCCAGUCACCUGCACAGUAAAAAAUCUCUUCCUCAGGUUGAGUUGGAACUUCAUGUGCAUCAGUUUGUGCCUGCUGCCUCUUGUCCUAUUGCUUGGUGUUGCCAAGCAGAGCCUGAAUCCAUUCACUGAGACACUUCAAUUUUUAUAGGCGAGCCUUUCCUUGUAUGGGAGAUGCUCCAGCCCCUAAUAAUCAUUGUCACUCACUGCUGGACCAGCUCCAGCAGCUCUGUGUCUCUCUGGUCCUGAGGAGCCCAGAACUGGACAGAGCACUCCAGAUGUGCCUCACCAGGGCUGAGUAGAGGAGCAGGAUCACCUCUCCCCCACCUGCUGGCACUGCUCUUCCCAAUGCACCCCAGGACACCAUUGGCCUUCUUGGCCACCAGGACACACUGCUGGCUCAUGGAGAGCUUGCUGUCCACCAGGAACCCCAGGUCCUUCUCCUCAGAGCUGCUUUCCAGCAGGUCAGCCCCAGCCUGUGCUGCUGCCUGGGGUUCUUCCUCCCCAGGUGCAGGAGCCUGCAUUUGCCUUUGUUGGAUUUCAGACAGUUCUUGUGUGUCCCUCUCUCCACCCUCUGAAGGGCAGCACGGCCCUCUGGGGUAUCGGCCGCUGCUGCCAGCUCUGUGUCACCAGUGAACUCGCUGAGGAGGCACCUGCCCCUUCACCAAGGCACUGAUGGAGAAGUUAAACAAUACCAGGCCCACUCUUGAAUCUGGGGUUCACCACUUGUGGCAGGCCUCCAACCAGACCCUGUGCCACUCAUAACAAUCCUCUGCGAUCUGCCAUUCAGACAGUUCUCAAUUCACCUCUCUGUCCCAUCACCCAGGCCACACUUCCUGAGUUUUGCCUGUGAGGCUGUUGUGGGAGACAGUAUUGAAAGUCCAGGUGGAACAAUAUCCACUGCUCUCCCCUCAUCCAUCUGUCCAGGCAGUUGUUUCACUGUGGAAAGCAAUCAGAUUGGCCAGGCAUGAUGUCCCUUUGCUGAAGCCAUGCUGACUCCAUCCUGAUCCCCUUCUUGUCAUCCAUGCGGAUAGAGACGGCCUCCAGAAUGAGGUGGUCCAUCACCUUUUCAGGGACUGAGGUGAGGAGUCCCCGAGUAGUCCCCUGAGUCCUCCUUCUUGCCCUUUGUGAAGACUGGGGUGACAUUUGCUUUUUUCCAGUCCAGAGGAACCCCUCCUGAUUCUUCAUGACCUUUCAAAGUGGCCCAGCCAUGGUGUUCACCAGCUCUUUCAGCAUUCAUGGAUGCAUCCUGUCAGGACCUAGACUGGUUGAUGCCAGGUUUGCCUAGAGGUUCUCCAGUCUAAUAACCUUUUGACCAAGGAAAUUUUCCUUCUAACGUUCCUCUAUCGUGAUCUCCUGGUUCAGAGAUUCCUGAGGGCUGGUCUUGUCUAUUCUAUGAUUUUUGUUCUUAAUAUACUAUGAUUUCAGGAUGUAUUAACUGAUUAUUUCUGUAGAAUAGAAAUCUUGAGACUAAACUGUCUUGUAUUAAAUUCUUUAAUAAACAUAUGAAUAAGGAA